RNAcentral lists this ribosomal RNA (556 nucleotides) under Bacillus subtilis. RNAcentral describes it as "bacterial SSU rRNA". It matches the Rfam family "Bacterial small subunit ribosomal RNA", at positions 923 to 1477 of the family's 1533-position model. Lineage: Bacteria; Bacillati; Bacillota; Bacilli; Caryophanales; Bacillaceae. The record is from RNAcentral.
GCACAAGCGGUGGAGCAUGUGGUUUAAUUUGAAGCAACGCGAAGAACCUUACCAGGUCUUGACAUCCUCUGACAAUCCUAGAGAUAGGACGUCCCCUUCGGGGGCAGAGUGACAGGUGGUGCAUGGUUGUCGUCAGCUCGUGUCGUGAGAUGUUGGGUUAAGUCCCGCAACGAGCGCAACCCUUGAUCUUAGUUGCCAGCAUUCAGUUGGGCACUCUAAGGUGACUGCCGGUGACAAACCGGAGGAAGGUGGGGAUGACGUCAAAUCAUCAUGCCCCUUAUGACCUGGGCUACACACGUGCUACAAUGGACAGAACAAAGGGCAGCGAAACCGCGAGGUUAAGCCAAUCCCACAAAUCUGUUCUCAGUUCGGAUCGCAGUCUGCAACUCGACUGCGUGAAGCUGGAAUCGCUAGUAAUCGCGGAUCAGCAUGCCGCGGUGAAUACGUUCCCGGGCCUUGUACACACCGCCCGUCACACCACGAGAGUUUGUAACACCCGAAGUCGGUGAGGUAACCUUUAUGGAGCCAGCCGCCGCAAAGGUGGGAACAAGGAAUG